This 495-nucleotide ribosomal RNA is filed under the name uncultured soil bacterium. RNAcentral describes it as "bacterial SSU rRNA". It matches the Rfam family "Bacterial small subunit ribosomal RNA", at positions 26 to 518 of the family's 1533-position model. The record is from RNAcentral.
AGAUUGAACGCUGGCGGAAUGCUUUACACAUGCAAGUCGAGCGGCAGCGCGGGGCAACCUGGCGGCGAGCGGCGAACGGGUGAGUAAUACAUCGGAACAUGUCCAUUUGUGGGGGAUAGCCCGGCGAAAGCCGGAUUAAUACCGCAUACGCCCUACGGGGGAAAGCGGGGGACUUCGCAAGAGGCCUCGCGCGAAUGGGUUGGCCGAUGUCCGAUUAGCUAGUUGGUGGGGUAAAGCUUACCAAGGCGAUGAUCGGUAGCUGGUCUGAGAGGAUGAUCAGCCACACUGGGACUGAGACACGGCCCAGACUCCUACGGGAGGCAGCAGUGGGGAAUUUGGACAAUGGGGGCAACCCUGAUCCAGCCAUUCCGCGUGAGUGAAGAAGGCCUUCGGGUUGUAAAGCUCUUUGUCCGGAACGAAACGGUAGCGUGAAUAUCGCUGCCUACUGACGGUACCGGAAGAAUAAGCACCGGCUAACUACGUGCCAGCAGCCGC